RNAcentral lists this ribosomal RNA (303 nucleotides) under uncultured bacterium. RNAcentral describes it as "partial 16S ribosomal RNA". It matches the Rfam family "Bacterial small subunit ribosomal RNA", at positions 507 to 808 of the family's 1533-position model. The record is from RNAcentral.
AGCAGUAGCCACGGUAAUACGUAGGUCCCGAGCGUUGUCCGGAUUUAUUGGGCGUAAAGCGAGCGCAGGCGGUUUGAUAAGUCUGAAGUUAAAGGCUGUGGCUCAACCAUAGUUCGCUUUGGAAACUGUCAAACUUGAGUGCAGAAGGGGAGAGUGGAAUUCCAUGUGUAGCGGUGAAAUGCGUAGAUAUAUGGAGGAACACCGGUGGCGAAAGCGACUCUCUGGCUUGUAACUGACGCUGAGGCUCGAAAGCGUGGGGAGCAAACAGGAUUAGAUACCCGUGUAGUCCCUGUCUCUUAUACA